GACAGAGGGGGCAAGCGUUGUCCGGAUUGACUGGGCGUACAGCGCGCGCAGGCGGCGGCGUAUGUGCCGUGUGACAGUCGGGAGCUUAACUCCCGCCGGCCACGGUAGACAGCGCGGCUGGAGGCAGGGAGAGGGAAGUGGAAUACCCGGUGGAGCGGUGAAAUGCGUAGAGAUCGGGUGGAACACCAGGGGCGCAGGCGACUUCCUGGCCCUGACCUGACGCUGAGGCGCGAGAGCGUGGGGAGCGGAACCGG
Molecule: ribosomal RNA, 254 nt
Filed under: uncultured bacterium
Lineage: Bacteria
Description: partial 16S ribosomal RNA
Rfam family: Bacterial small subunit ribosomal RNA
Source: RNAcentral